This 253-nucleotide ribosomal RNA is filed under the name uncultured bacterium. Its description in RNAcentral is "partial 16S ribosomal RNA". It matches the Rfam family "Bacterial small subunit ribosomal RNA", at positions 524 to 776 of the family's 1533-position model. The record is from RNAcentral.
UACAGAGGGGGCAAGCGUUGUUCGGAAUUACUGGGCGUAAAGGGCGCGUAGGCGGCCUGUUAAGUCGAACGUGAAAUCCCUGGGCUCAACCCAGGAACUGCGUCCGAUACUGGCAGGCUUGAAUUCGGGAGAGGGAUGCGGAAUUCCAGGUGUAGCGGUGAAAUGCGUAGAUAUCUGGAGGAACACCGGUGGCGAAGGCGGCAUCCUGGACCGAUAUUGACGCUGAGGCGCGAAAGCGUGGGGAGCAAACAGG